UACAAAAUGAAAGAAAAUGAGAUUAAAUGUCUUUGAAAUUAAAGAAGGAUGAAAAAGAAAAUAGAAUGAAGUUUUUGAAAUUGAAUUUUGGACUAGUAAAAUUGUUGCGAUACAACUGUACUACAUACAGUGCAAUGUACAUUAGACAUUUGAAGGUGGUGAUUUUUUCAUGAGCAACUUUUCAGGAUUAUUUCAUCUUUUUAUUUUUCUUUUGAUUGAUUUGGCACAUAUGCAAAAUGGUAAGUUUGGAUAUGUUGUGUGUGCGCUCUUCUUUUGAGUUUUGCCUAAACAAGAUAAAGGUUAUUUUACAAGUCACAUUUCUUUGUAUAUUUUGUGUAUGGGCUGUAACCUGUAACACACAGUAAGGUAAUUUUGCCAUUUUUGUUGGUUAUUACGGUUGAAAUUGGAAAAUGGUGUAAGAUACAAAAUGAAAGAAAAUGAGCUUAAAUAUUUAAUGAUUAAAUGUAAGACAAAAUGAUACAACCGUUUGAUUCUGGUUGUACACUUUAUUUUUUUUGUUGGUUUUGAUAUGUAGACACAUUUUUUCACAAACAUAGACAGGAUUAAUAAAGGCUACGUGUGUAUUGUUAUUGCUACAUCAUAGUUGUCAUGGAUCGAAAUUGGAUGCAUGCUCGGCGUAAUAGUGAUGAGUAUGAGCAUGGAGUAGAAGAGUUCAUUGAAUUUGCAAGAAAACAUGCUGAGGACGCAACACAUAUUUUAUGUCCAUGUGUUGAUUGUAAUAGUAUGGUUCGACUUAAUAUUGAGGACGUAAAAGUUCACUUGAUGGCUAAAGGCAUUAAUCAAUUUUACAAGUGUUGGUUACAUCAUGGUGAGAUAUUAGGGGAGGUUCCUAAUGUGCACGGUAUGAUGGAUUUUGAAACUGGGAUGGAAGUAGAGAUGGAUGGAGAAUCUUCCGGUGAAGAUAAUGAGUUUGAAGAAAUGGCAAAAGCUUUGGAGGAAAACUUUGCAGAUUGUCCAGAGAUGUUUGAUAACUUGUGUAGUGAUGCAAAGAAACCUUUGUAUUCGGGAUGCACUAAAUAUAGUAGAUUAUCUGCUAUUAUCAAAUUGUUUAAUGUCAAAGCAAGUAAUGGAAUAACAGAUAAAGGCUUUGCUGGUUUCUUAGAUGCAAUACAUGAAAUGCUCCCACAUGGAAACCUACUUCCAACUCGCACCUAUGAUGCUAAAAAGAUGCUAAGCUCUAUUGGCUUGACUUAUGGAAGAAUCCAUGCAUGUCCAAACGACUGCAUCUUGUAUCGCAAAGAGUAUUCGUUGUUGGAGUAUUGUCCCAAAUGUAAAGCUCCAAGAUAUAAGAAAAAGAAGAUUCCGGCCAAAGUAAUGUGGUAUUUUCCAAUUUUGCCAAGGUUUAGACGACUUUUUAGCAUUCCAGAAACUGCAAAGAGUUUGACAUGGCAUGCGGAUGAACGGAAGAAUGAUGGUAUGUUAAGACAUCCGGCCGAUUCCCCACAAUUGAUCAAAAUUGACAAGGAUUUCCAUGAUUUUGGUAAGGAGCCUAGAAAUCUAAGACUUUCCCUUGCAAGUGAUGGUGUGAACCCUCAUGGUAAUCAAAGUAGCACUCAUAGUACAUGGCCGGUAAUCUUAAUGAUUUAUAACCUUUCUCCUUCUUUAAUUAUGAAACGGAAGUAUAUGAUGCUUUCAAUGUUAAUAUCAGGACCUAGACAACCUGGCCAUGAUAUAGACAUUUAUUUGGCUCCUUUGAUUGAAGAUCUAAAAUUGAUGUGGGAUUCUGGCAUUGAAGUGUUUGAUGCGCAUCGUAAUGAAACUUUUAAUUUGAGAGCCAUGCUUUUCGGCACAAUAAAUGAUUUUCCCGCCUAUGGUAACUUGUCAGGUUAUACUGUGAAAGGUUAUAAAUCAUGCCCUAUAUGUCAAGAGAACACAACUUCAACUAAGUUGAAAAACUCAGGAAAAAAGGAAAGGAAAAAUUCUGGGAAAGUUGUCUACUUGGGAAAUCGUAAGUUUUUACCGGUGCAACAUCGUUAUCGAAGGUGGAGGAAAGCUUUUGAUGGUAAUGCUGAAGAGGGUAGAGCUCCGGUUCCUCCAACAGGUCUCCAGAUAUUACAAAAAGUAGAGGUCUUAGAUGUAAAUCAUGGAAAGUUGCACUCCUCCCAGGUUCCAACUCGUGGCUAUAAGAAGAGGUCGAUUUUUUUUAUCUUCCUUAUUGGAAGGACUUACAUGUUAGACAUUUUCUUGAUGUCAUGCACAUUGAGAAAAAUGUUUGUGAAAGUCUUGUUAGCACACUACUCAAUACACCAGGCAAGAGCAAAGACUCGCUUCAUGCUAGAAAAGAUUUAGUCGACAUGGGAAUUAGACCUGAGUUACAUCCUGUUAUGCAUGGUGAUCGUACAUAUCUUCCUCCAGCGUGCUAUACUCUAAGUAAAAAAGAGAAAAAAAUAUUUUGUGAGUGUUUACAUGGUGUGAAGGUUCCUGAUGGAUAUUCUUCCAAUAUUAAAAAUCUUGUGUCUUUGAAAGAUAAUAAACUUUUAGGUUUGAAAUCUCAUGAUUACCAUGUACUCAUGGAGCAUUUUCUUCCUAUUGCUAUUCGCUCCAUUUUGCCUGAAGAUGUUCGAAAUGCCAUUACAAGACUUUGCAUUUUCUUUGGUGAGAUAUGUAGAAAAGAAAUCAACCCUUUAAAGCUACCUAACUUGCAAAAGGAAGUUAUUGUUACUUUAUGUCAGUUGGAGAUGUAUUUUCCACCUUCUUUCUUUGAUAUAAUGGUCCAUUUAACAAUACACUUGGUUAGAGAAAUUCAGUUGUGUGGGCCUGCAUAUCUAAGAUACAUGUAUCCUAUUGAGAGAUACAUGAAGAUUUUGAAGGAUUACGUAAAGAGUGGAAGCCAUCCGGAAGGUUGUAUGGUUGAGCGCUACCUUGUAGAGGAGGCAAUUGAUCUUUAAAGUGAUUACCUCUCUUUUAUUGAUGCGGUUGGAAUUCCAAAUCCUAGGCAUGAUGGAAGUUUGAAUGGGCAAGGGAAAGGGAUCAUGGGAAAUAAGGUGUUGACUAUAAACCCUGAAAUGUGGCAUCGCGCGCACUUGUAUGUCUUGCAUAAUAGUUCGGAGGUUGAUCCAUAUGUGGAAGAACAUAUGGAUUACUUAAGGACCCUUUAUCCAAUUAAGAGUGAGAAGUGGAUUACUGACAAACACAAUUCAUGCUUUAUUGAGUGGUUAAAGGCUCGAGUUGGAGAUGAAAUAGCUCAAUCACCUUUUGAUGUUUCUGAUAGACUUAAAUGGUUGUCCCGAGGUCCUAGUAAAGAUGUCUUCUCAUAUUCUGGUUACCAAAUAAAUGGGUUUACAUUCUGUACAAAGGGUAGGGACAAUGAAACUACAACACAAAAUAGUGGGGUGUCAAUUGUAGCACAAGCUAUGCAUAUCUCAAGCACAAAAGACAAGAACCCCAUUUAUGCAAAUAUGUCUUACUAUGGAGUAAUUGAAAACAUUUGGGAAUUGGACUAUGGGCUGUUUAGAAUUCCUAUAUUUGGUUGUAAGUGGGCUGAUAACAAUAAUGGAGUUCGUUUUGACCAUAAAGCCGGUUUCACAUUUGUUGAUCUCAAUAGAGUGGGUAGUAAGGAUGAUCCAUUCAUAUUGGCCAGUCAAGCAACACAAGUUUUCUAUGUUACUGACCCAGCUAAUAAAAUAUGGUCUUUUGUUUUGUCGUCGAACAAAAGAUAUCCUAUCGAUGAUGAGGACCAUGAAUUAGAUGAAAGGGAAGAUCCUUCGUUUGUACUGCCAUCACAACCACUCGAUGAUCAAGUUGUUGAAGAAGAUUUUUAUAAAAGAGAUGAUCAUGAGGAGGGGAUAUGGGUACAUGCGGAGGAAGGAGCUACCAAAUCCAAGAAAAAAAGAAAAAAAACUUGACAUGGUACUAUAUUUGCUUCUGCUUUUUGCUUUUGCUUCUGUUAAUAUUACUUCUGGUUCUGCUUUUGGUUUUGCUAUUUUUGCUUCUCGUUCUGCCUUUUGAUUUUGCUUCUACUUGUGGUUCUGCUUUUGGUUCUUCUUUUGGUUCUACCUUUUGACAUGGUACUAAACAUGUUCCCCAACGUUUGCUAGAUUCAUUAUUCGAAGAACUCAAGUUGAUAUACAAGGUUGACGAAAGUAGGAGGAAAUUUAUGAUGACCAAAGCUAAUAUUGCUUGGAGAAACUUUAAGUCUUCGCUCUCAAGAGAAUGGAUAUGGACUGAAGAUAUGGAGAUACGUAAGACACCGCCAAAACAAUACGAUUUCAUCAAGUUAAAUGACUAGACUGAAUUUGUAACAAGUCGGCUAAAAGAAGAAUGGAAGGAGAAGAGUGAAGCUGCUAGAAAGUCUGCAAAAGGAAACAUUUAUCCUAAAAAACGAGCUCGUAGAGGAUAUGCUCGAUUUGAGCAAGAUGUUCUUGAGGAGUUGGCUAAGAAAGGCAUCCAUGAAUCGUCCUUAGGCCGAGGACAGCUGUGGAAGUUAAUCAGGAGGGAUAAGGAUGGAAAUGUUGUUGAUGAAGGAGCAAAAUCAGUAGCUUCACGUAUUGUAUGUAUUUUAUUUCAAUAAGUUUUUAUUUUUAAGUAAUUGUUAUUUCGAUUACCAAGUUGUUCAUGGUAUAGUCAUU
Molecule: RNA transcript, 4589 nt
Organism: Chenopodium quinoa (quinoa)
Lineage: Eukaryota; Viridiplantae; Streptophyta; Magnoliopsida; Caryophyllales; Amaranthaceae
Exons: 4
Source: RefSeq, a predicted model, not a curated record